UUCUGAAGAGGGUUGACAUACACUGUGAGACUGAACUUUCUGCAUAGUACAUACAACGGUGAAGAGGUUGUCAAAGCACCAGCAACUUUUACAAAGGCCCAGGGAUUGUAAGCAAUCGAUGGUGAGUUGUGUGAAGUGGAGGGCCUCGUCGAACGUGGAGGCCUUCAGGAGGCAAUCGUCGAGGGGUUUGGAUGCCUAAGGAUUGAAGAGUUGCCCUUGAGUCCUUCAUUGAGUGAAGCACCUCAUUCGUGGAGGAAGCAAAGAGUUUAUCACCAUCAAAAGGGAGAUCCUCUAUGGUGCUCUGAACCUCACGGGGAA
Molecule: long non-coding RNA, 318 nt
Organism: Mauremys reevesii (Reeves's turtle)
Lineage: Eukaryota; Metazoa; Chordata; Testudines; Geoemydidae
Exons: 3
Source: RefSeq, a predicted model, not a curated record